ACUCCUACGGGAGGCAGCAGUGAGGAAUAUUGGUCAAUGGGCGCAAGCCUGACCCAGCCAUGCCGCGCGAAGGAUGAAUGCCCUAUGGGUUGUAAACUUCUUUUGUACGGGACAAAACUCCUGGUCGUGACCGGGAUUGAUGGUACCGUACGAAUAAGCAUCGGCUAACUCCGUGCCAGCAGCCGCGGUAAUACGGAGGAUCCGAGCGUUAUCCGGAUUUAUUGGGUUUAAAGGGUGCGCAGGCGGCAUGUUAAGUCGGCGGUGAAAUUUUGCAGCUCAACUGUAAAAGAGCCUUCGAAACUGGCAAGCUUGAGUGUGGAUGAAGUAGGCGGAAUUUGUGGUGUAGCGGUGAAAUGCAUAGAUAUCACAAAGAACACCGAUUGCGCAGGCAGCUUACUAAACCAUAACUGACGCUCAUGCACGAAGGCGUGGGGAUCAAACAGGAUUAGAUACCCUGGUAGUC
RNAcentral lists this ribosomal RNA (463 nucleotides) under uncultured bacterium. RNAcentral's name for it is "bacterial SSU rRNA". It matches the Rfam family "Bacterial small subunit ribosomal RNA", at positions 335 to 795 of the family's 1533-position model. The record is from RNAcentral.